Molecule: ribosomal RNA, 274 nt
Filed under: uncultured bacterium
Lineage: Bacteria
Description: partial 16S ribosomal RNA
Rfam family: Bacterial small subunit ribosomal RNA
Source: RNAcentral
AUACGGGGGGUGCAAACGUUGCUCGGAAUUACUGGGCGUAAAGCGCGUGUAGGCGGAUUGUUAAGUCAGAUGUGAAAGCCCUGGGCUCAACCCGGGAACUGCAUUUGAAACUGGCAGUCUAGAGUGAUGGAGAGGAAAGCGGAAUUCCUGGUGUAGAGGUGAAAUUCGUAGAUAUCAGGAGGAACACCGGUGGCGAAGGCGGCUUUCUGGACAUUUACUGACGCUGAGGCGCGAAAGCGUGGGGAGCAAACAGGAUUAGAAACCCUAGUAGUCC